Molecule: ribosomal RNA, 429 nt
Filed under: Chloroflexota bacterium
Lineage: Bacteria; Bacillati; Chloroflexota
Description: Chloroflexi bacterium partial 16S ribosomal RNA
Rfam family: Bacterial small subunit ribosomal RNA
Source: RNAcentral
UAGGGAAUCUUCGGCAAUGGACGAAAGUCUGACCGAGCAACGCCGCGUGAGUGAAGAAGGUUUUCGGAUCGUAAAACUCUGUUGUUAGAGAAGAACAAGGACGUUAGUAACUGAACGUCCCCUGACGGUAUCUAACCAGAAAGCCACGGCUAACUACGUGCCAGCAGCCGCGGUAAUACGUCGGUGGCAAGCGUUGUCCGGAUUUAUUGGGCGUAAAGCGAGCGCAGGCGGUUUCUUAAGUCUGAUGUGAAAGCCCCCGGCUCAACCGGGGAGGGUCAUUGGAAACUGGGAGACUUGAGUGCAGAAGAGGAGAGUGGAAUUCCAUGUGUAGCGGUGAAAUGCGUAGAUAUAUGGAGGAACACCAGUGGCGAAGGCGGCUCUCUGGACUGUAACUGACGCUGAGGCUCGAAAGCGUGGGGAGCAAACAGG